GCCGGGCGUGGUGGCGGGCGCCUGUAAUCCCAGCUACUUGGGAGGCUGAGGCAGGAGAAUCGCUUGAACCCCGGAGAUGGAGGCUGCAGUGAGCCGAGAUUGCGCCACUGCACUCCAGCCUGGGUGACAGAGCAAGACUCUGUCUCAA
Nomascus leucogenys (northern white-cheeked gibbon) is the source of this 148-nucleotide non-coding RNA. It matches the Rfam family "Metazoan signal recognition particle RNA". From Rfam's summary of the family: The signal recognition particle (SRP) is a universally conserved ribonucleoprotein. NCBI's taxonomy places the organism in Eukaryota, Metazoa, Chordata, Mammalia, Primates, Hylobatidae. The record is from Rfam.